GACGAACGCUGGCGGCGUGCUUAACACAUGCAAGUCGAACGGAAAGGCCCUGCUUUUGUGGGGUGCUCGAGUGGCGAACGGGUGAGUAACACGUGAGUAACCUGCCCUUGACUUUGGGAUAACUUCAGGAAACUGGGGCUAAUACCGGAUAGGAGCUCCUGCUGCAUGGUGGGGGUUGGAAAGUUUCGGCGGUUGGGGAUGGACUCGCGGCUUAUCAGCUUGUUGGUGGGGUAGUGGCUUACCAAGGCUUUGACGGGUAGCCGGCCUGAGAGGGUGACCGGCGACAUUGGGACUGAGAUACGGCCCAGACUCCUACGGGAGGCAGCAGUGGGGAAUAUGGCGCAAUGGGCGGAAGCCUGAUGCAGCAACGCCGCGUGCGGGAUGACGGCCUUCGGGUUGUAAACCGCUUUCGCCUGUGACGAAGCGUGAGUGACGGUAAUGGGUAAAGAAGCACCGGCUAACUACGUG
Molecule: ribosomal RNA, 468 nt
Filed under: uncultured bacterium
Lineage: Bacteria
Description: partial 16S ribosomal RNA
Rfam family: Bacterial small subunit ribosomal RNA
Source: RNAcentral